Molecule: non-coding RNA, 105 nt
Organism: Acanthosepion pharaonis
Lineage: Eukaryota; Metazoa; Mollusca; Cephalopoda; Sepiida; Sepiidae
Source: the annotation of a GenBank genome assembly
AGCCAUGUUGAAACACCAGUUCUUGUAUGAUCACUGAAGUUAAACAAUGUCAAGCCUGAUCAGUAACUGGAUCGGUGACCACUUGGGAAUAUCAACAGCUGUAAG